AUCGAUUUUACCUUCAGUUCCUUUUUUACCUAUUUUUUCUCUCUCUUCUUGCUAUCAUCUUAAUUCAGGUCUUUUUUAUAACCUACUCUAGUAACCUGUUUGUUCUGUCUACCUCUGACUCUUAAUUCCAUGGUUCUCAACCUUGGCGGCACAUUAAAAAUACCAGGGUGGGCGGGAGGAGGUUGAAAAUCUUGGUGCCCAGGCUAAACCCCAAGCCAGUAUAACCAAAGUCUCUGGGAACAGGAUCUAG
Molecule: long non-coding RNA, 250 nt
Filed under: Homo sapiens (human)
Lineage: Eukaryota; Metazoa; Chordata; Mammalia; Primates; Hominidae
Description: HSALNT0160246
Source: RNAcentral